This is a long non-coding RNA of Hippocampus zosterae (dwarf seahorse), 847 nucleotides long. RefSeq lists it as uncharacterized. The transcript is spliced from 2 exons. NCBI's taxonomy places the organism in Eukaryota, Metazoa, Chordata, Actinopteri, Syngnathiformes, Syngnathidae. The record is from RefSeq and is a predicted model, not a curated record.
ACCAUUUUGACAUAAUAAAAUAUGAUUGUUGUACACGACUACAGUCGUCUCACAAAAAAGGCGAGUUCUGUUAGAAAUUACCUCUUUCAGAAUGGUGAAAUGUUGAGUCUUUAUUAAAGCGCUAUAUUGACUCAUUGGAUAACGUUUUUAGCUUUAUUUUAAGCAUUUGGAGCCAAAACGGGAGCCAGCAAGAAGGAGCCUUCUGGACGUUGUUCAGCCACCAAGGAGCAAUAGAUCAGGCAUUCUACAUCUUUUUAUGACAAUAAACAUUGCAAAACCACUUGGCUGUCAACCAGGAGUGAAGAAAACGUGUGGUCUUAAUGUUCACAGAAGAAAAGACGACAUCCCUUUUCUGCGUUUCCCACCAAGUCUUGGCAUAUGGCGAACAUGGCUUGUUUUCUGCUCUGCAGCCAUUUGUUGUCUUUAUGCCGCUGUGUACCACGAGUACUGACAAGCUUGAAACAGGAGAGGAAAACACAAUUUUCAGCCCCUAGGUUUUACUAGCUCUCCAAUCUCUCUGGCACACACUCCAACUUUCAUCCUCCACUUUUUGGGGGUCCGUGGCUCAUCUCGAACCAAACACCUUCUGGUUCUAAUCACCUGAAUCAAUAAUCACAUCUUUGUCAAACUCUUUUCUCUUUGAUGUUUGUCUUGUCUUCUCUUGGAUACCUUGAAAGAACAUUUGGGAUCAGACCCUCUUGAGUACAUUCGACCUGAAGGCAUCAAGCAAUGCUUUGUUCUUUUAUUGUACCCGAAAACAACUUUUGUAAGGAUGGAGGACUUUGUAAGUUUAGUCACCUGUGAUCCUGUUUGUCCACUUUGUCCGCUCACCCCCCCCCCCCCCCCC